This 406-nucleotide ribosomal RNA is filed under the name uncultured bacterium. RNAcentral describes it as "partial 16S ribosomal RNA". It matches the Rfam family "Bacterial small subunit ribosomal RNA", at positions 30 to 526 of the family's 1533-position model. The record is from RNAcentral.
AUUGAACGCUGGCGGCAGGCCUAAUACAUGCAAGUCGAGCGAGCGGCGGACGGGUGAGUAAUGUCUGGGAAACUGCCUGACGGAGGGGGAUAACUACUGGAAACGGUAGCUAAUACCGCAUACCAUCAGAUCUGCCCAGAUGGGAUUAGCUAGUCGGUGGGGUAAUGGCUCACCAAGGCGACGAUCCCUAGCUGGUCUGAGAGGAUGACCAGCCACACUGGAACUGAGACACGGUCCAGACUCCUACGGGAGGCAGCAGUAGGGAAUAUUGCGCAAUGGGCGCAAGCCUGAUGCAGCCAUGCCGCGUGUGUGAAGAAGGCCUUCGGGUUGUAAAGCACUUUCAGCGGGGAGGCGUUACUCGCAGAAGAAGCACCGGCUAACUCCGUGCCAGCAGCCGCGGUAAUUC